CUGCCACCUCCUCCCAUGGGAGUGGGAAUCCCACUCCCCACUCCAAAAUUGGGUGGGACCCACGGAUUCCCACUCCCACUCCUCCAUUUUUUAAGGUAAGUAAACAUUGGAGUGAGAGGAAUCCACACUCCACACUCCCACUCCAGAAAGUAAACACUACCUUAAAAUUGAACUGAAUUAAAUUAAAUCAAAUCUAGUUAAUCACAAAACAAUUGGGAUGUCCACAAAUCGAUCCACGAUCGAUUCGUCAAUUAAUUUUAAGACAGUUAAAUCAUUUUGAUUUUAGUUUAGUUCCCUUAAAAAAUGAACCUAAUCAAAAGAAUAAAAAUAAAGCGAAAUGAAUCAAUUUGGUUCAAAUCAAAAUCGGUUUAAAAUUUUUUAUCCUAAGCCCUUUUGUGAGCUAUUUGAAAUAUCUGAAAAUAUGAUGUUAUGUAAUACUAUCGUAUCAUUUUAGGAUUGUGGAAAAACAUAUGGUUUCGCACUUCACUGAUAAAUUGGGCAUGUGUAUACCAAAACAAACAAGGGUCCUAAAAUGUUCACAAAAAGUAUAAACACAAAAAAAGCCAUUCUAUUAUUAAGCUUUAACUAGAGUUUGUCUCCCAUAAAGCGAGUUAGUCAAAUCAAAAUCUUCAGAAAUCCUCCAAUAUCUUGUGGCUCAAGUCCAUAUAAAUAGUCGCAAUCUAUUUUAUCACAUUAUCAUGUCUUCAUUUGGGUGGCUAUGGCAGGCUUUCGAGCAUGAAAGCUCAAGUGAAUAUGCAUUAUUCUUCGGCUAGCAUUAUUAUUUUGCCGGCAAAUGGGUCUGGGAUUGGCUUAAAUGUUCUAUGAAUUAUCAUUUUCAUCAAGAAUAAGAUCGCUGAAACACUUACGUUAUAGGUCUGCUUGAAGUACAAUCAGGAACAAACAUUGUGGCUUCACACGUGUAAUAUUUAACUGACAUUAGUUAUUUUUUAAAAUUAAAAAUACUAGAUAAUUGUCACUCAAUCUUUGACGUAUGCCGUUAAAUAAUUAAAUUGUAUUGACUUUAUAAGUUUUUAAAGGGAUGGUAUUUAGAAGCAUCGAAGUUAGACCUUAUAUGUUAAUUCUAUAUGAGAAAACAUUAAAUAAAAAAAAAUAAAAGCAGAAGAAAAUUGACAUUGAUGAAAUUGAGUAUAAGAAAUGUUUUGGCCUUUUCUUUUUAUUAUUUAUUUUGAAAGAUACUAAAAAAGUCAUAAUAAUAGACAUUAGACAUAUCCAUUGGAUUUGGAAGGAGACGUGAAAACAAAUCUUUGAUUGCAGGUCUUCACCGACCACCCCACGUGCCCAAUCUGACUAAUCAAUUAAUCACUUCAUUUCAUUGAUACAGAGUUUUAACAUGUCCAAAUUCGUGCAAUAAUCACCCGUUAAAUCUUAUCAUCACAAUUUAAGGAAAAAAAUCAAUUAUUUUUAGCUGGAUUAUUGAAUUCAACCGACUCAAUGUUCGGCUCCUAUAUAUUUGAAGUUUCAUUCUUUUUCGUACCUCUCGUGGGGGCACCUCAAACUUGUUGCUUACUGAAGAUGAUUAAUGGUUUGAUGCAGCACGAUGCUAUAAAAGGAGUACUGUGCAGUCAAACUGACCCACCAGAAAGAUAAAGUAAUGCAAUGGAGGGAUAAAAAAUGUGGGCCAUUGAUAGAUAGAGAUAUUGUCUAUACUUGAGAAUAUCACAAUUAAAAAAAAAAUUAAAUCCACGUUAAUUUUAAGAAUACUCGUGAGUUUAAGUGUUAAAAUUCGUUGAUUUUAUAGAAUAUUAAGACAUAACAAGAAUUGAAUUUAAACCAAGAGUUUAUUUUAAGAAAAAUCAAUAACAAAUAAUCAAAAUAUGCAUGUAAAAGUUACAAAAAUUAAUUAUUUAUACUAACUAAGACUGAUCUUAACUUGACUAGAAAACCUAUUUUAAUAAAACUUAUACUUAAAUUAAGAAUAUAACUCAAAUAAGUAAUGCCUAAAUAAUAAAUUCUAAAUAGGCAAUCAAAAUAAACUGGGAUACAAAUUAAAUAAAAUAUU
This 2020-nucleotide long non-coding RNA is filed under the name Citrus x clementina. RNAcentral describes it as "Citrus clementina (C. clementina) long non-coding RNA (CCLE_LNC003337)". Lineage: Eukaryota; Viridiplantae; Streptophyta; Magnoliopsida; Sapindales; Rutaceae. The record is from RNAcentral.